RNAcentral lists this long non-coding RNA (420 nucleotides) under Lathyrus oleraceus (garden pea). Its description in RNAcentral is "Pisum sativum (pea) long non-coding RNA (PSAT_LNC009934)". The record is from RNAcentral. Lineage: Eukaryota; Viridiplantae; Streptophyta; Magnoliopsida; Fabales; Fabaceae.
UGACCAUUUCUUUUGGUCAUUUUGGAAUCAUUAAUCAAAAUAAAAAUUUCAAGUGAAGGGCCACAUUUUACUUUUUCUCAAAGAAGGAUGUUUGUUAGGAUUAUUAACUUGGUGUUAACUUUGCCUUGUCAUUCGUGGCAAUAAUUAAGGCAAUUCCCAAACAGAGGGGAUGGUUAGCCUUUUUUUUUUUAUUUUUUUUUUUAAAAUAUAGUUGUUCUUUUUUGUUUCUUUUUUCUUUUUCCUCCUUUAUCCAUUUUAGGGUCUUACUUUGAUCUCACCUAGUAGUUCUACCUGAUGGUGAAGCAAAGAAGUAAUUAGUCGCUCCAUAGGAGAGGGGGCUUCACGUUACGUAAUGUACACCUUUACUAGUAUAAAAUUGUGCUCCAUAAUAUUUAAUGUAGAAUUGCAAGGAAAAGUUUC